CCUACGGGUGGCAGCAGUGGGGAAUAUUGCGCAAUGGGCGAAAGCCUGACGCAGCGACGCCGCGUGAGGGAUGAAGGUCUUCGGAUCGUAAACCUCUGUCAGCAGGGAAGAACGGUCACUGUGCUAAUCAGCAGUGAAUUGACGGUACCUGCACAGGAAGCACCGGCUAACUCCGUGCCAGCAGCCGCGGUAAUACGGAGGGGGCGAGCGUUAAUCGGAAUUAUUGGGCGUAAAGCGCUCGUAGGCGGUAUGUCAAGUCAAGGGUGAAAUCCCUGGGCUCAACGUGGGUAGUGCCUUUGAAACUGGCAAACUGGAGUGUAGAAGAGGAUAGUGGAAUUCCAGGGGUAGGAGUGAAAUGCGUAGAUAUCUGGAGGAACAUCAGUGGCGAAGGCGACUAUCUGGUACAUAACUGACGCUGAGGAGCGAAAGCGUGGGUAGCAAACAGGAUUAGAUACCCGAGUAGUC
Molecule: ribosomal RNA, 465 nt
Filed under: uncultured bacterium
Lineage: Bacteria
Description: partial 16S ribosomal RNA
Rfam family: Bacterial small subunit ribosomal RNA
Source: RNAcentral